CACGUAGGGGACGAGCGUUGUCCGGAUUCAUUGGGCGUAAAGGGCGCGUAGGCGGCUUGGUAAGUCCGUUGUGAAAUCCCUCGGCUCAACCGAGGAACUGCGACGGAUACUGCUUGGCUUGAGUCCCGGAGAGGGUAGCGGAAUUCCCAGUGUAGCGGUGAAAUGCGUAGAUAUUGGGAGGAACAUCGGUGGCGAAGGCGGCUACCUGGACGGGUACUGACACUGAUGCGCGAAAGCUAGGGGAGCAAACAGG
This 253-nucleotide ribosomal RNA is filed under the name uncultured bacterium. RNAcentral's name for it is "partial 16S ribosomal RNA". It matches the Rfam family "Bacterial small subunit ribosomal RNA", at positions 524 to 776 of the family's 1533-position model. The record is from RNAcentral.